Molecule: ribosomal RNA, 253 nt
Filed under: uncultured bacterium
Lineage: Bacteria
Description: partial 16S ribosomal RNA
Rfam family: Bacterial small subunit ribosomal RNA
Source: RNAcentral
UACGGAGGGGGUUAGCGUUGUUCGGAAUGACUGGGCGUAAAGCGCGCGUAGGCGGAUCAUCAAGUCGGGGGUGAAAUCCCGGGGCUCAACCCCGGAAUGGCCUUCGAGACUGGUGGUCUUGAGUUCGAGAGAGGUGAGUGGAAUUCCGAGUGUAGAGGUGAAAUUCGUAGAUAUUCGGAGGAACACCGGUGGCGAAGGCGGCUCACUGGCUCGACACUGACGCUGAGGUGCGAAAGCGUGGGGAGCAAACAGG